AGGGUUUAUUUUCUAGAUGAGAAUUUUCUUUGAAUUUGGUUUUUUGGUGCAGAACCCAAAGGUGGUGAGCAAGACGGAAAGACCCCGAGAGCUUGAAUUUAUUUUUUUACUUGGGGAGGGGGUAUAUGUUUCAUGUAUUUUUUGAUCCUCUGCGGAUUGUAGGGAUAAGUUACCUCGGGGAUAACUAGGUAAGAAGCAAGGAGAGGUCAUAUUGAUUUGCUUGGUUGCCAUCUCGAUGUUGGCUUGGGGAAGCAAGGAGGCGCAGCAGUUUCUUUGUGGGGUCUGUUCGACCAUAGUUCCUCAUGA
This 306-nucleotide ribosomal RNA is filed under the name Metorchis xanthosomus. Its description in RNAcentral is "partial large subunit ribosomal RNA". The stretch from base 42 to 306 matches the Rfam family "Bacterial large subunit ribosomal RNA", at positions 2048 to 2603 of the family's 2925-position model. The record is from RNAcentral. Lineage: Eukaryota; Metazoa; Platyhelminthes; Trematoda; Opisthorchiida; Opisthorchiidae.